Molecule: long non-coding RNA, 1907 nt
Filed under: Equus caballus (horse)
Lineage: Eukaryota; Metazoa; Chordata; Mammalia; Perissodactyla; Equidae
Description: lncRNA (ENSECAG00000057687.1)
Source: RNAcentral
AGGAAUUCACUUUAGUAUGACACAGAAUAACCUUUAUUUUCACAGAAGAACCCAUUAACACAAGUAGUCAAUACUCAGGAUACGACACUGUAUGAGUAAUAGGGAAUACGCCAAAAAGUAGUGUGGGGGUAGGACCGGCUUUCAAGAAAUUUCACGUGCACAUUUUUUAAAAAAUGCGAAAUUUUACUAUCACAGUAGAUCAGAUAAAUAAAUUUUGACAUAUUCAUACAAUGACACACUAAACACCAAUAAAAAGGAAUAAACUAUAGAUACAAGAUGCAACAUGGAAGAAUCUGAGACAUAAUGAGCAAAAGAAGCUAGACACAAGAGAAUACAUUCUGCGUGAUUCCAUUUAUACAAAGUUCAAAAGCAGAGAAAGCAAUUCUACGGUGUCAGAAUAGAGAAAAUUAAACAAGACUUUAUAACACGUAUACAUGGGAGAGACUCAGGCAAACUGAGCAACUCACCAAAAUGGUGGAAGCUCUCACCUUAAAUACCACCCUCAGCUAAAGACAAAGGAGCGUGUGGGGGGCGGGAGGACCCAGUUAUGGGAGAUUACCAGAAAAGCACAGCAAACAAGAGUCAGGUUAUUAUGCAGAUUUAAGUACUUGCCUUCUGCAUUGACAAGAGUUUCUAGAGAUAAGGUCAUCCCUUCUUCUUCCUGGUACAGAGAGGGAGACACCUUUACAGAGAGGGAGAUUUCCUUUACAAAUGUAAAUUUCUCUUAACAAAGGGUAACUCCUACUUUUCAGAGGUUCUCUCAUGUCUGUAGUUUUUAAAAGUAACCAGCCCCAAAUAAUCCUUAUGCCAAAGAGGGAGAUCUUGCGGUGGCCAAUUCCAACCCCCCACAGUCCCGCCUUUGAAAUUUUAAGACGUUUCGUAGUCCAGAAGCUGAGUGAUAGAUUGUUUCAUCUCACUGAACACAUUUCUUAGUCCUGAAAGUAGAUCAGUCCAGUUAAAUCCACUUUAGAAGGUGGUGAUGCAGGUGCGCUCCCAAAGUUAGGCCUAUACUGUGGAAGCAAGCAAUCAGGUAUUUAAUAAGUACUUCUAUGGAAAUUAAAAAAACAAGGUUAAUGGUUGGAGCAAAUUAUAAACCAGUUCCUGAGCCCAGGAGGCAGCCAGUCAAGAAGAUUUCUAGAUGUCAGAGUUGAAGCAUCUUUUGCGUCUUGAAAUGUCUCUGAUGAUGUCAUCGGGCAUUCAGGUAUCUUUCUGAGUGGCUUACAGCUUACACAGCAACAGACAGGAAUUUCUCAAGUUUAUAUCAAGUUGUUCAGCUUCAGUUUGCAAGGCUUCAGGAAAAAGGGCAGGUUCAAUUCUCAAUGAUUCCAAAUGAAAAUGAGGGAAAAAAUUGAAAAUGUUAGUUUGGAGAUUUGUAGACAGAUAUUUCAGAGACUAGAAUUCAGAAUCCAGUCCAGGUCACAGGCAGAAAAACCCUCAAAGACAAUUAACAGAACUAGGAUCUAAUAUUUACAAAUGUAUUAUAGCUUUUAACCAAAAUGUAAUUUUUCCCUCUAAAAUCACCUUCAUUUUUACCAAAGAGAGCCAGAUUAAGACUAAUUGGUUUGCAAAAUAAGUUUACUUUCAAUAAACUUGGCCCAAUUAUUUACAUAAGUACAGCAAGAAUAGCCAUUGAUCAUAUAGGCUCUUUUAAAUCUGCUUUGCUGGAACUUUUUAUAAGGAAUCUCAGAUUGAACUUUAAAGGCCUCUCAAGGCCAGGAAAGCCAAGCCAAGGACUUGCCAUCAGAUAUUGCUUGCAAAACCUACAGAUUUGGGUGGAUUCCUCUCUUUUCGAGGUCCCCCAAAAUAUUUCAAGGUUCCUUGCACCUGCCAAACAGGUAAGCUUCCUUACUUACCAGGUAAGAUUUCUGGAAUCUAUGUAAACAAGGUACCAGGCCCAUGUUUCCAAG